GCCGGGCGCGGUGGCGCACGCCUGUAGUCCCAGCUACUCGGGAGGCUGAGACAGGAGGAUCGCUUGAGUCCAGGAGUUCUGGGCUGUAGUGCACUAUGCCGAUCGGGUGUCCGCACUAAGUUCGGCAUCAAUAUGGUGACCUCCCGGGAGCGGGGGACCACCAGGUUGCCUAAGGAGGGGUGAACCGGCCCAGGUCGGAAACGGAGCAGGUCAAGUUGUGGAUGUUUUGAGCUAUCCUAUUCAUUCUCAACAUGUGAGCUGGAUGUCUCAUAGGACUCA
RNAcentral lists this signal recognition particle RNA (279 nucleotides) under Mus spicilegus (steppe mouse). Its description in RNAcentral is "Metazoan signal recognition particle RNA (ENSMSIG00000029090.1)". It matches the Rfam family "Metazoan signal recognition particle RNA". Rfam says of the family: The signal recognition particle (SRP) is a universally conserved ribonucleoprotein. It is involved in the co-translational targeting of proteins to membranes. Lineage: Eukaryota; Metazoa; Chordata; Mammalia; Rodentia; Muridae. The record is from RNAcentral.